This 253-nucleotide ribosomal RNA is filed under the name uncultured bacterium. Its description in RNAcentral is "partial 16S ribosomal RNA". It matches the Rfam family "Bacterial small subunit ribosomal RNA", at positions 524 to 776 of the family's 1533-position model. The record is from RNAcentral.
UACGUAGGGUGCAAGCGUUAUCCGGAAUUAUUGGGCGUAAAGAGCUCGUAGGCGGUUUGUCGCGUCUGCUGUGAAAACUGGAGGCUCAACCUCCAGCCUGCAGUGGGUACGGGCAAACUAGAGUGCGGUAGGGGAGAUUGGAAUUCCUGGCGUAGCGGUGGAAUGCGCAGAUAUCAGGAGGAACACCGAUGGCGAAGGCAGAUCUCUGGGCCGUAACUGACGCUGAGGAGCGAAAGCAUGGGGAGCGAACAGG